Molecule: long non-coding RNA, 2201 nt
Organism: Pongo pygmaeus (Bornean orangutan)
Lineage: Eukaryota; Metazoa; Chordata; Mammalia; Primates; Hominidae
Exons: 5
Source: RefSeq, a predicted model, not a curated record
UUUGAGAACAGGCCAUGUCCCGUGCCCCUUACCGACUUUUCCCCUGUGAGGCCGAGAGAGGGACGGGCUCUGGGUGCAAUGUGACAGGCAGGCUGCUCCCCAGGACGCCAAUGGGACACACCCCUCAACCCACGCAUUCCUCUGCCAGGAGGCCUCUUCCUGGGCCGGGACUCCUGGUCAUAUCCAGGGGCCGUCGGGCACUGUGGUGCAGGCUGUCGGCCCCCUAGGAGUCCUUGCUUGGGGAGGGGCCCAGGCACAGCUGCCACCUGGAUUUCCCACUGGUUCCCAGACAGCCCCUGGGCUCGUGGGGAUUAUGUGACAGGAGCUGUCAACGAGGAACCGCGAUGCUUUCCCUCUGGGUUCUGGAGCCACGUGGCACUGUGGGCCGUCACUGCCGAGGGUCGCGCUACGGUGGACGGCUGGGGCGGUACAGAGACGCAGGCAACUUCUAGGCAAGAACAAGCCCUCCCUCUUUCCGGCUCCUAGUUAAUGUCUGGAGUCCGGGUUCCUCCACGGAGAAGCGGAGACACCUGUCCCUGCAGGGCUGUGGGGUGCACGUGCCCCACGGGCAGCGGCUGCAGAGGGUGCUGAAGGCCGCGGGGUGCAGGCCGCCCCUCCCUUACCUUGGUUCACCACCUCGUCGCCACUCAUCUUCUGAAGGAGACGCACCGUUUCUCCAACCGGCUUCCCAACGGCCAACAGAUCUAGGGGAGAAGCGUCCCCUCAGGAGGGCAUGGACACCUUGGCAGCCUUGCUGAAGGGUUGCGGGACAGGCCCAGGAUGCCAAGGGCCCACGCACUUUCCCAUAAGACGCUGGCCCGCAGCGCAUUGUCCUGCAGCAGUGUCGGCCACUGGUUUGCCAGGAUGCUCUUGACGCCCACCAGGCUCAGCAAGAUGGCCACCUCCACGGGCUCCUCCAGGGACAGCUGUGAGGCGCUGUGGGGACCCGGCUCCCGUGGGCUGGUGCCAGGGGCCCAGCUGAGCCGCCCCCUCCCCACGCACAGCCACACCUCGCCAACUGCUGGAACGCAUGUGCGCCCCGACAGCGCUCACUGUUCUUGAAACCGGACCCCAGGUCCCUGCUCCCUUGUGGGUCCCACGCCCGUCUGUCUGACCUCUCCAUCCUCAGCACCCCCGCCCACCCGCUCCAGGCAGCCAGGCACCUCCUGUGCUCCACGCUCUUCAUGUGCCGCUUCAAGCUCUGGUAGGACCGCGCCAGGUCCAGCAGGACUGCCACCUGGCACUCUGCCGGGACGGGAAGGGCAGCUCAACAGCCUUGGCCCAACACGGGGAGUGGGGAUGGGGUGUGGGCGGGUGGGGCCUGUGCCCCCAGGGCGCAGCAGGGCAUGGCACGCUGGCCACUCAGCUCUGGGCUCUGACCUCAUGACCGUCAGGUUCUUUCCAGGGACCCCCUGGCCACAGUGGACCUCGCCAGCCUCAGGAGCCCAGACCCUUCACAGCCUCCUCCAGGCGACUGUGCCCGGCAACAGGAAGUGGUGGGAAGCCCACCUGGACUCCCCCAGCCUCGUCUGCCCUGGAGGUCAUCUCGGUGCCCCCACCAUGCCUGGACGCCCUGGCACCCCACAUGAAUGAGCUCGCCCUGUGGUGUCCGAGUGGCCGCGCCCGCCGUCUCCGUCAGUGCUACCCUCGGGCUGUGGCGUGUGAUGGGGUGAUGUGCCCCAUGCGUGUGCUGUGCUCACACCACGCCCCCAGCCUGCCCUGCCAUCCCCACCUCCUGCCAAAAGCCCCCCUGUGCUGGAGCUGGCUGGGGUGUCACUGUGCCGGGCAUCGCAGGACCACACCUGGCAGCCCCUCCACGGCUGGUGGACAGCGAAGGGGAAGGGGUCACGGCGGAGCCUAGUCAAGGGGACCCAUGAUGUCCCGCCCAUCGCGACGUGAACGUGUCUUGGAAUCUUUCCAAAAUGUCUUGGGUGAUGGAGACAGGAGUCAGCAUUUCUGCAAGGAGAACAGGGUGGAUACAGACCACGGUGUUUCAUCAGACACAGGCUCUGAGUAGACAGUCAUGUGCCUGGGAAGGAUGGCCACUUCCCUCCUGUUUCUGCCCCCGACUUUCCUUUCUGUGUGCCUAUGCUGGGGCCUCCAGCAGACAGCGGAACGGACGCAUGGAUGGGGCCCACUGCCUGACCGCCUUCAAAGAGGCUGCUUCUGAGGGAAUCCCCAUUAAAAAGGAGGCUGUCUCU